This 490-nucleotide ribosomal RNA is filed under the name uncultured bacterium. RNAcentral's name for it is "partial 16S ribosomal RNA". It matches the Rfam family "Bacterial small subunit ribosomal RNA", at positions 30 to 507 of the family's 1533-position model. The record is from RNAcentral.
AUUGAACGCUGGCGGCAGGCCUAACACAUGCAAGUCGAAUGGUAACAGGAAACAGCUUGCUGUUUCGCUGACGAGUGGCGGACGGGUGAGUAAUGUCUGGGAAACUGCCUGAUGGAGGGGGAUAACUACUGGAAACGGUAGCUAAUACCGCAUAACGUCGCAAGACCAAAGAGGGGGACCUUCGGGCCUCUUGCCAUCAGAUGUGCCCAGAUGGGAUUAGCUAGUAGGUGGGGUAACGGCUCACCUAGGCGACGAUCCCUAGCUGGUCUCAGAGGAUGACCAGCCACACUGGAACUGAGACACGGUCCAGACUCCUACGGGAGGCAGCAGUGGGGAAUAUUGCACAAUGGGCGCAAGCCUGAUGCAGCCAUGCCGCGUGUAUGAAGAAGGCCUUCGGGUUGUAAAGUACUUUCAGCGGGGAGGAAGGGAGUAAAGUUAAUACCUUUGCUCAUUGACGUUACCCGCAGAAGAAGCACCGGCUAACUCCGUG